Molecule: transfer RNA, 76 nt
Filed under: Eubacterium ruminantium
Lineage: Bacteria; Bacillati; Bacillota; Clostridia; Eubacteriales; Eubacteriaceae
Description: tRNA_Ala_TGC
Rfam family: tRNA
About the family: Transfer RNA (tRNA) molecules are approximately 80 nucleotides in length. Their secondary structure includes four short double-helical elements and three loops (D, anti-codon, and T loops).
Source: RNAcentral
GGGGUAUUAGCUCAGUUGGGAGAGCGUCUGAUUUGCAAUCAGAAGGUCACAGGUUCGAAACCUGUAUGCUCCACUA